Molecule: long non-coding RNA, 980 nt
Filed under: Monodelphis domestica (gray short-tailed opossum)
Lineage: Eukaryota; Metazoa; Chordata; Mammalia; Didelphimorphia; Didelphidae
Description: lncRNA (ENSMODG00000030939.2)
Source: RNAcentral
AGACAUUUUUCCUGCCAAAGACAAAUUAAUAUGUCAUCAGGAGAGGUUUGUGACACCAAGGUCAGGUCAGUCUGGAGCAUAUAUCUUGGAGUUGUCUUUGGCAGCAAUAACAACAGCUUUGUGGAUUCCCAGCCUGGAGUUAUUCAGGCAUUCAUAUAACUGCUUAAGUUACAGAAAAGCCUUUGUUGGCACUAGCUACAGAACCUGGCACAGUUUGGAAACUAUAUUGCCCAUAUGUGCUUUCUGGGUCCCAGAUCUAUGGAAUAGAGGAAUGCUUCUGACAAAUUUCAUGGGAACAGGGAUCCUGUUUGCAGUCCCAAGGCAAAAGGGAGCCUUUGUGGCUAUAGACAAGCAAAGGCAAUCAAGUAAAACUUCUAGGGCAGAGUGGUUGUGACUAUAGGAGAACAGGACACCUGGUCACAGUACUAAGGACAAGAAAAGUUCUUCACUUGGACCUGCUGGAGAACAGGGACGCUUCCUGGAUAAAGUAUAGAGCACAGAUGAGGGGAAGAGAGAUCACACCUCUCCCCAAAUCACACCAUCUUAUUUCAACUAGAGAGUUCUCAGUAUUCAGAAUGCACAGAAUAUCCCAUGCAAGAUUCUGCAUGAAGAGUGGGGUUGAAAGACCUUCAGCCACAGGAGAAACAUAAAGUAAAAUCAGUGAUCAAUCAGGUGUUCUUCAGCCACCAGAGUCAACCUGGAGAUUGGAAAAAGAAUUGUCACUUCAUGUAUAAGAGCUGGAGAAUUAACAUGUUAGAAUACAUCAAAUAUACACCCUCAGAAUUACUAUCUAGUACACAGGAGAGUAGAAGGUGGGACAAGAGAAGUAAAUACAUUAUUUGCAACUAUCCAGAUGAACAACCUUUGCUUAAAUGUGUACAUGUGAGUAAUCAUUUCCCAAAUCUUUCAAAUGGAAGAAUAGCAUAUUAAUUUUUCCAGCUGAUUUUUUUUUUAUUUCGCUGACAAAACCUUAUAUAUUU